Molecule: ribosomal RNA, 681 nt
Filed under: uncultured bacterium
Lineage: Bacteria
Description: bacterial SSU rRNA
Rfam family: Bacterial small subunit ribosomal RNA
Source: RNAcentral
UGCCUAACACAUGCAAAGUCGAGCGAAGUAUUUAAAGAAGAUUUCUUCGGAAUGAAACUUUAAAUAUCUUAGCGGCGGACGGGUGAGUAACGCGUGAGAAACCUGCCUUUCACAACGGGAUAGCCUCGGGAAACUGGGAUUAAUACCGUAUGAUGUUUCUUUUUAGCAUUAAGAAGAAACCAAAGCGCAAAGCGGUGAAAGAUGGUCUCGCGUCCCAUUAGCUAGUUGGUGAGAUAAAAGCUCACCAAGGCGACGAUGGGUAGCCGGCCUGAGAGGGUGAACGGCCACACUGGAACUGAGACACGGUCCAGACUCCUACGGGAGGCAGCAGUGGGGAAUAUUGCACAAUGGAGGAAACUCUGAUGCAGCGACGCCGCGUGAGUGAUGAAGGCUUUCGAGUCGUAAAACUCUGUCCUAGGGGACGAUAAUGACGGUACCCUAGGAGGAAGCCCCGGCUAACUACGUGCCAGCAGCCGCGGUAAUACGUAGGGGGCGAGCGUUGUCCGGAAUUAUUGGGCGUAAAGGGUUCGCAGGCGGCCUUUUAAGUCAGAUGUGAAAUCCCACGGCUUAACCGUGGUAAGCAUUUGAAACUGGAAGGCUUGAGUUAAGGAGAGGAAAGUGGAAUUCCUAGUGUAGCGGUGAAAUGCGUAGAUAUUAGGAGGAAUCCCGUGGGCCAAGGCG